Molecule: small nuclear RNA, 190 nt
Filed under: Castor canadensis (American beaver)
Lineage: Eukaryota; Metazoa; Chordata; Mammalia; Rodentia; Castoridae
Description: U2 spliceosomal RNA (ENSCCNG00000027384.1)
Rfam family: U2 spliceosomal RNA
About the family: U2 is a small nuclear RNA (snRNA) component of the spliceosome (involved in pre-mRNA splicing). Complementary binding between U2 snRNA (in an area lying towards the 5' end but 3' to hairpin I) and the branchpoint sequence (BPS) of the intron results the bulging out of an unpaired adenosine, on the BPS, which initiates a nucleophilic attack at the intronic 5' splice site, thus starting the first of two transesterification reactions that mediate splicing.
Source: Rfam by way of RNAcentral
AUCGUUUCCCAGCCUUUUUGCUCAGAUCAAGUGUAGUAUCUGUUCUUAUCAGUUUAAUACCUGAUACGCCCUUCUAUUGGAGGACAAUGCAUUAAAUGGAUUAUUGGAGCAGAGAGAUGGAAUAGGAGCUUGCUGUCUACUGCAUGCAUCGAUCUGGUAUUGCAGUGCCUCCAGGAACCAUGCACUCCUC